Ziziphus jujuba (common jujube) is the source of this 698-nucleotide long non-coding RNA. RefSeq lists it as uncharacterized. Lineage: Eukaryota; Viridiplantae; Streptophyta; Magnoliopsida; Rosales; Rhamnaceae. The transcript has 5 exons. The record is from RefSeq and is a predicted model, not a curated record.
UAGCGUAAUUCAGUGCUGCGAGAGGUGGGACGGCUAUACUUCAGUGCGGUUUCAACAGAGGAAUACACAAGGAGGAACUACGCAAGCAAUGUCUCUGAGUAUAACACUGUUAUCGGUUCUCUCACCGCGCAGAGAAGGCAUCUCUUGCUGAGAGAUGUGUAUGAUGAUAUGAUGCUGGAUGGAGUACCCCAGAUGAUGUUCUAUCUGCUUUAAGACGACAUUCUUCAAUUUCUCAACAUCAAAAAUCUCUGGAUUCUAAUUUUCCAAGGAAGAACAGAGGAUCAAGAUGGAAUAAGGAAUAUUUUAGUCAUUCUAAUGCUUUGGACCAUAAAGAUAGUGGUGCGAAAGGUGUUCAAGACUUGUGGAACAAAAAAUCAAGGUCUACAGGUCCACCAGAACAGAAGGUUAAUGCUAGUGAUGAUCGGUCAUCAUCAACAAUUGAAGCAAAAAUUCUUGAUGUAGUGCAGAUGAACUCUGUCACUGUUGACUCGAGGCCAAAGUGCUUGGUGAUUGAUGAAAUAGAUGGAGCUCUUGGUGAUGGCAAAGGUGCUGUGGAGGUUAUUCUAAAGAUGGUUUCUGCAGAUAAGAAGUCUGAUACAGGGAAGGAGAAUUUUCCAAAUGAAGAAAAUCAUGAAAGUACAUAGAAAGUUUAUCAUUCAUAUGGAGUUUCCUUUUCAUGAUUCCCUGAAAAAUGGUAC